GACGAACGCUGGCGGCGUGCUUAACACAUGCAAGUCGUACGGUAAGGCCCUUUCGGGGGUACACGAGUGGCGAACGGGUGAGUAACACGUGAGUAACCUGCCCACAACUUUGGGAUAACGCUAGGAAACUGGUGCUAAUACUGGAUAUGUGCUCCUGCUGCAUGGUGGGGGUUGGAAAGCUCCGGCGGUUGUGGAUGGACUCGCGGCCUAUCAGCUUGUUGGUGGGGUAGUGGCCUACCAAGGCGGCGACGGGUAGCCGGCCUGAGAGGGUGACCGGCCACAUUGGGACUGAGAUACGGCCCAGACUCCGACGGGAGGCAGCAGUGGGGAAGAUUGCACAAUGGGCGCAAGCCUGAUGCAGCAACGCCGCGGGCGGGAUGACGGCCUUCGGGUUGUAAACCGCUUUCAGCAGGGACGAAGCUUUUUGUGACGGUACCUGCAGAAGAAGCACCGGCUAACUACGUG
This 465-nucleotide ribosomal RNA is filed under the name uncultured bacterium. RNAcentral's name for it is "partial 16S ribosomal RNA". It matches the Rfam family "Bacterial small subunit ribosomal RNA", at positions 28 to 507 of the family's 1533-position model. The record is from RNAcentral.